This 253-nucleotide ribosomal RNA is filed under the name uncultured bacterium. RNAcentral describes it as "partial 16S ribosomal RNA". It matches the Rfam family "Bacterial small subunit ribosomal RNA", at positions 524 to 776 of the family's 1533-position model. The record is from RNAcentral.
UACGUAGGGCGCAAGCGUUAUCCGGAAUUAUUGGGCGUAAAGAGCUCGUAGGCGGUUUGUCGCGUCUGCCGUGAAAGUCCGGGGCUCAACUCCGGAUCUGCGGUGGGUACGGGCAGACUAGAGUGAUGUAGGGGAGACUGGAAUUCCUGGUGUAGCGGUGAAAUGCGCAGAUAUCAGGAGGAACACCGAUGGCGAAGGCAGGUCUCUGGGCAGUAACUGACGCUGAGGAGCGAAAGCGUGGGGAGCGAACGGG